Molecule: ribosomal RNA, 274 nt
Filed under: uncultured bacterium
Lineage: Bacteria
Description: partial 16S ribosomal RNA
Rfam family: Bacterial small subunit ribosomal RNA
Source: RNAcentral
AUACGGAGGGUGCAAGCGUUACUCGGAAUCACUGGGCGUAAAGCGCGCGCAGGCGGCUAUUUAAGUUGGAUGUGAAAGCCUACGGCCCAACCGUAGAACUGCAUCCAAAACUAUUUAGCUAGAGUGUGGGAGAGGAAGAUGGAAUUAGUUGUGUAGGGGUAAAAUCCGUAGAGAUAACUAGGAAUACCAAAAGCGAAGGCAAUCUUCUGGAACACUACUGACGCUGAGGCGCGAAAGCGUGGGGAGCAAACGGGAUUAGAUACCCUAGUAGUCC